Molecule: non-coding RNA, 101 nt
Filed under: Metabacillus indicus
Lineage: Bacteria; Bacillati; Bacillota; Bacilli; Caryophanales; Bacillaceae
Description: Bacillus cibi SAM-I sequence
Rfam family: SAM riboswitch aptamer (S box leader)
About the family: The SAM riboswitch is found upstream of a number of genes which code for proteins involved in methionine or cysteine biosynthesis in Gram-positive bacteria.
Source: Rfam by way of RNAcentral
UUCUUAUCUAGAGAAGCUGAGGGACUGGCCCGUCGAAGCUUCAGCAACCUGGCGCAAUCCAAGGUGCUAAUUCCAGCGAUGCAUCCAUCGGACGAUAAGAA